RNAcentral lists this non-coding RNA (24 nucleotides) under Arabidopsis thaliana (thale cress). The record is from RNAcentral. Lineage: Eukaryota; Viridiplantae; Streptophyta; Magnoliopsida; Brassicales; Brassicaceae.
GGAGCUCCUUCUUUGUUAAAUGUC